GUGCUCACUUUGGCAGCACAUAUACUAAAAUUGGAACGAUACAGAAAAGAUUAGAAUGGCCCCUGUACAAGGAUGACAUGCAAAUUCAUGAAGCAUUCCAUAUUUUU
This is a small nuclear RNA of Myotis lucifugus (little brown bat), 107 nucleotides long. The record is from Ensembl. Lineage: Eukaryota; Metazoa; Chordata; Mammalia; Chiroptera; Vespertilionidae.